This 883-nucleotide ribosomal RNA is filed under the name uncultured bacterium. RNAcentral's name for it is "bacterial SSU rRNA". It matches the Rfam family "Bacterial small subunit ribosomal RNA", at positions 1 to 924 of the family's 1533-position model. The record is from RNAcentral.
AUUCGCCUUAGAGUUGAUCUGGCUCAGGAUGAACGCUGGCGGUAUGCUUUACACAUGCAAGUCGUACGAGAGUUUUUAACUCAAGUGGCGGACGGGUGAGUAACACGUAAGAAUUUGCCUUUAGGAGGGGGAUAACAACUGGAAACGGUUGCUAAUACCCCAUAUGCUUUCGAGUAAAAUGGAUUUUCCGCCUAAAGAGAAGCUUGCGGCUGAUUAGCUUGUUGGUGAGGUAAUGGCUCACCAAGGCGACGAUCAGUAUCUGGUUUGAGAGGACGAUCAGACACACUGGAACUGAGACACGGUCCAGACUCCUACGGGAGGCAGCAGUGGGGAAUUUUCCGCAAUGGGCGAAAGCCUGACGGAGCAAUACCGCGUGAGGGAUGACGGCCUAUGGGUUGUAAACCUCUUUUUUCAGGGAGGAAUCAAUGACGUGUACCUGAAGAAUAAGCAUCGGCUAACUCCGUGCCAGCAGCCGCGGUAAGACGGAGGAUGCAAGUGUUAUCCGGAAUCACUGGGCGUAAAGCGUCUGUAGGUGGUCAAAUAAGUCAACUGUUAAAUCUUGAGGCUCAACCUCAAAAUCGCAGUCGAAACUAUUCGACUAGAGUAUAGUAGGGGUAAAGGGAAUUUCCAGUGGAGCGGUGAAAUGCGUAGAGAUUGGAAAGAACACCGAUGGCGAAGGCACUUUACUGGGCUAUUACUAACACUGAGAGACGAAAGCUAGGGUAGCAAAUGGGAUUAGAUACCCCAGUAGUCCUAGCCGUAAACAAUGGAUACUAGAUGUUGAACAGAUCGACCUGUGCAGUAUCAAAGCUAACGCGUUAAGUAUCCCGCCUGGGAAGUAUGCUCGCAAGAGUGAAACUCAAAUGAAUUGACGGGGAAGGGC